UAAUGUAUGGGGAUCUGCCCGAUAGAGGGGGGUAACUACUGGAAACGGUGGCUAAUACCGCACAAUGUCUACGGACCAAAGCAGGGGCUCUUCGGACCUUGCACUAUCGGAUGAACCCAUAUGGGAUUAGCUAGUAGGUGGGGUAAAGGCUCACCUAGGCGACGAUCUCUAGCUGGUCUGAGAGGAUGAUCAGCCACACUGGGACUGAGACACGGCCCAG
This 220-nucleotide ribosomal RNA is filed under the name uncultured bacterium. RNAcentral's name for it is "partial 16S ribosomal RNA". It matches the Rfam family "Bacterial small subunit ribosomal RNA", at positions 111 to 334 of the family's 1533-position model. The record is from RNAcentral.